Molecule: ribosomal RNA, 443 nt
Filed under: uncultured bacterium
Lineage: Bacteria
Description: bacterial SSU rRNA
Rfam family: Bacterial small subunit ribosomal RNA
Source: RNAcentral
UUACCAUGCAGUCGAUUCGAUUUACCUUCGGGUAUUGAGGAUGGCGGACGGGUGAGUAACGCGUAAGGAACUUGCCUCUUGGACUGGGACAACUGUUGGAAACGACAGCUAAUACCGGAUAUUAUGAGAUUCUCGCAUGGGAAACUUAUGAAAGCUAUAUGCGCCAAGAGAGAGCCUUGCGUUCCAUUAGCUAGUUGGUGGGGUAAUGGCCCACCAAGGCGACGAUGGAUAGCCGGCCUGAGAGGGUGAACGGCCACAAGGGGACUGAGACACGGCCCUUACUCCUACGGGAGGCAGCAGUGGGGAAUAUUGGACAAUGGGCCACAAGCCUGAUCCAGCAAUUCUGUGUGCACGAUGAAGGUCUUCGGAUCGUAAAGUGCUUUCAGUUGGGAAGAAGAAAGUGACGGUACCAACAGAAGAAGCGACGGCUAAAUACGUGCCAG